Regulatory RNA element from Clostridium paraputrificum, 84 nucleotides. It matches the Rfam family "c-di-GMP-I riboswitch aptamer". Rfam says of the family: GEMM was predicted in a large-scale screen for bacterial structured RNA regulatory elements. Genes associated with GEMM are involved in a diverse array of functions, including chemotaxis regulation, signal transduction, secretion and chitin. NCBI's taxonomy places the organism in Bacteria, Bacillati, Bacillota, Clostridia, Eubacteriales, Clostridiaceae. The record is from Rfam.
UAUAUAUAUUGGCAAAUUUAGAGAAAUCUAAAGACGCAAAGCUAAAGGAGCUAAGGUUUAAAACUAUGCUAGCCAGUUGCUAAA